This 201-nucleotide non-coding RNA is filed under the name Alistipes shahii. RNAcentral also lists the same sequence under 1 other name. Lineage: Bacteria; Pseudomonadati; Bacteroidota; Bacteroidia; Bacteroidales; Rikenellaceae. The record is from RNAcentral.
ACUUUUGUGACUCGCAAAGGUAUCCUUCGUCCCGCCGGGGCGGAGGAUAAGAGGGAAUCGGGUGCGAAUCCCGGACAGUUCCCGCUGCUGUAUGCACUUCAAUGCCGCAGGCGAAUCGUCGAGCCACUGUCCCGCGGGGGACGGGAAGGCCGCCUGCGGGUCGGUGCGAGUCAGAAGACCUGCCUUUGCGCAUGCAAUGUC